Molecule: long non-coding RNA, 952 nt
Filed under: Homo sapiens (human)
Lineage: Eukaryota; Metazoa; Chordata; Mammalia; Primates; Hominidae
Description: long non-coding RNA NONHSAT224179
Source: RNAcentral
CUUCCUAAAAGGAUAUAGAAGACAGUUGACUCUUUCUUAUACAUACACUCACCUGAAUCUGAAGAAUGAGCAAGAAACUGCCAAAAAGAACUCUGAGUAACCAUAUGCCUUCCUUCUGUUUGUCUACUAUGCAAGACUAUUCCAUAGCAUAUUAAGAUGUUUCCUCCAAACUAGCAAGUAGGAUCUAGAUUUAAUCUUCAACUAUUCAAUACCGAUUCUACAAAAGCAUAGAGGUGAACAGAGUGCUGGGACCUACAGUGUCAUUUCUUCCCCCUAUUACCUUAAUGAAUGUAGCCAGUUUGCUUACUUCACUUUUGCUCUUGGAUAUUGACAACUGGCUGUCUUCUUCUUCAGGUGGUCAGGUGCUAGUUGUUACUCAGUGAAUCCCCAGUUCUCUAGGCUUCUCUGAGAGAUAGCCAAGACUUGUUUUCAGUCACCAAUGCCUUUAAUCAAACUCGCUUAAAUAGCAACCCAGUUUUUACCACAUGCCAAAGUCUAUCACUGACAGAAAUUUUAAUGUUUCAUCUAACCCACAUCUCCCUCAAAACUUUGCUAAAAUGCCAUUUUUUUCUGUGAUUACUUCCAUUUAUUUUUCUCCGUAGCUUUCUUCACCUUAUGACCUAUAAUAUAAUGUACUAAUUAUGUUUGUUUUCACUUUUCCUACACUAGUACAUGAGCUCUAAUAAGGCAGAGGUUUUUGCCUGUAUACUUCACUGAUAUAUUCUUGGAACACAGAAGACUACCAGGUAUAUAGAAAGUGCUCAUAAAAAUUUGUUGAAUUAAUUAAUCUAGCACAAUUGAUUUUAUAUCACACCUUUUUGAUGUUGACAGUUAUCUGAAUUAAAUAAAUUGGAUCCAUACCUCCUUGUAUUUCUGAUAGAGUUUUAAUGACUGGUCCUACCUCUUACAGAUGAGGUCAUCUCCCUUCAUGUUCAUAGUCUUCAUGCUUUAG